Molecule: small RNA, 34 nt
Filed under: Bombyx mori (domestic silkworm)
Lineage: Eukaryota; Metazoa; Arthropoda; Insecta; Lepidoptera; Bombycidae
Description: ovarian small RNA-30571
Source: RNAcentral
UGAAAUCAUAGCGAUCGGCGUGCCCGGUGGGCCU